This 90-nucleotide non-coding RNA is filed under the name Pseudomonas tolaasii NCPPB 2192. The record is from RNAcentral. Lineage: Bacteria; Pseudomonadati; Pseudomonadota; Gammaproteobacteria; Pseudomonadales; Pseudomonadaceae.
UGUGGGAGCGGGCUUGCCCGCGAUAGCGGAGUGUCAGUUUGCAGAUAUCUCAACUGAUACACCGCCAUCGCGGGCAAGCCCGCUCCCACA